AUAAGUCAUGAGAUUGACGGAGCCAGCGCAUUGGUGCACGUCGAGAGAAAACGCCCGCGCCGAAGAACAGUGGUACCAACUCUACAAGAGAAAACCUCGCACGAAACUUUUCCGUUUGGCCCUAAUGAGUGCUAUGAUAAUAUGCAAUUGAUUCUAAACGAUGUAUUCUAAAGUUGUGUUGAUAUUUCGAAUAUGACAAAGUUAAGAAAUUAAAACUAUGGCGCUAGUUUUGCUUAAUUGUAGAGACGAAACAUUCGCGAGACGCCAAUAUUCAGAAUCGAACGUCCGCACUCCGCCCCUCCAAAGAAUGACAGUGACCCAAAUGGAGCGCGGGCGCAUUCAGUUCCGCGAGCGAGCGCGCGACAGUCCUACCCGACGCACGCGCCGCCGCGGUGCCACUGUGGAGUCCUAAUCGCCGGCUUGUGGUUCUAGUGUCACAUUUAUUCCGGUUUCCGGUGUUAUGCAGUGAGGUCAGUGAUUAAGGCCAUGGCUGGAUCAUUAAUGGAUGGUAUCGUGGAUUUUGACCUUUCAAGGUCAAUUCGAUUCAUAGAAGACGGUGGAAACUAAAGCACAUCCUAAAUGUAUAUGAAAGUAGAAAUUAAUGUAUGGUAAGCGAAAUAUAUACUGGAUCCCACAUAAAUGAGAAGAAAUAAGUAUUCAAAAUGUUGAUACCAAAAGUUACCGACACUCCGUCGACCUUUAGAACGAAAGUUGUGAAGCAAGUUAUGAGUCACGAUGGCUGCUGCUGACCCGGCGUCGGCGCAGGGCUCGGUGUCUAGACGACACACUUUGCACAUAUAAUAUGAAUAACCUUUGGGAUGAAGAUUAUUCAGAUGCAAAUUAUACUUUUUGCCUCUUAUUGCGAACUAUAUUAGCUAUUUAGAAACGACAGGUCACACUGAAACCGUGGCACGCUGACGCUGAACGACACUCGCGCCAAACGGAGAACGCGGGGAGUGAUUCCCGCCAAAACGGUCGCAGGCUGUGGCGCGAAGGCCCACGAUUGGUCGAGCGGCGGCGCGCGGUGUGCGCAAGGCCGCCGGUUUUCCCGCGAACAAUGCCAAAUGGUGCAUUUGUCAAGAUCAGCAAUCGUAGCGCGAUAGGCAGCUGCGUCAUGCGUCUCCGGAGGGUCAGCAGCUUCGGUGGUUGCGAGCAAAUCAUCUCGAAUGUUCCGCAAUUGUUCGUUCUCCGCCGUGCUCGCUGCUAGAC
This is a long non-coding RNA of Pieris napi, 1209 nucleotides long. RefSeq lists it as uncharacterized. The transcript has 5 exons. NCBI's taxonomy places the organism in Eukaryota, Metazoa, Arthropoda, Insecta, Lepidoptera, Pieridae. The record is from RefSeq and is a predicted model, not a curated record.